Molecule: ribosomal RNA, 495 nt
Filed under: uncultured bacterium
Lineage: Bacteria
Description: partial 16S ribosomal RNA
Rfam family: Bacterial small subunit ribosomal RNA
Source: RNAcentral
GACGAACGCUGGCGGCGUGCCUAAUACAUGCAAGUAGAACGCUGAAGGAGGAGCUUGCUCUUCUGGAUGAGUUGCGAACGGGUGAGUAACGCGUAGGUAACCUGCCUGGUAGCGGGGGAUAACUAUUGGAAACGAUAGCUAAUACCGCAUAAGAGUAGAUGUUGCAUGACAUUUGCUUAAAAGGUGCAAUUGCAUCACUACCAGAUGGACCUGCGUUGUAUUAGCUAGUUGGUGGGGUAACGGCUCACCAAGGCGACGAUACAUAGCCGACCUGGGAGGGUGAUCGGCCACACUGGGACUGAGACACGGCCCAGACUCCUACGGGAGGCAGCAGUAGGGAAUCUUCGGCAAUGGACGGAAGUCUGACCGAGCAACGCCGCGUGAGUGAAGAAGGGUUUCGGAUCGUAAAGCUCUGUUGUAAGAGAAGAACGAGUGUGAGAGUGGAAAGUUCACACUGUGACGGUAUCUUACCAGAAAGGGACGGCUAACUACGUG